Molecule: long non-coding RNA, 208 nt
Filed under: Vitis vinifera (wine grape)
Lineage: Eukaryota; Viridiplantae; Streptophyta; Magnoliopsida; Vitales; Vitaceae
Description: long non-coding RNA (VVIN_LNC000540)
Source: RNAcentral
CUUCCCUCUCUCUCAUUUUGGCAGCCAUUCCUCUCAUCUGUCUUCACUCCGUCACCGAGGCAAAGCAAAGAAUCUUGUAUAUUUUUCAACAAUUUCUCUCAUUUAAUUUCUGAAGCCUUUAAUCCCAAACUCCAAUCUAGUUUUCUAUCUUCAGCCCCUUCUCCUCUCAAAGUCCUAACCAUUUGGACCCGAUCAUCCCAAUUUCGUC